GCUAGCUACAGGCUUAACACAUGCAAGUCGAGGGGCAGCGGGAUUGAAGCUUGCUUCAAUUGCCGGCGACCGGCGCACGGGUGAGUAACGCGUAUCCAACCUUCCGUACACUCAGGGAUAGCCUUUCGAAAGAAAGAUUAAUACCUGAUGGUAUGAUGAGAUUGCAUGAUAGCAUCAUUAAAGCUUUAUCGGUGUACGAUGGGGAUGCGUUCCAUUAGGUAGUAGGCGGGGUAACGGCCCACCUAGCCAACGAUGGAUAGGGGUUCUGAGAGGAAGGUCCCCCACAUUGGAACUGAGACACGGUCCAAACUCCUACGGGAGGCAGCAGUGAGGAAUAUUGGUCAAUGGACGAGAGUCUGAACCAGCCAAGUAGCGUGAAGGAUGAAGGUCCUACGGAUUGUAAACUUCUUUUAUAAGGGAAUAAACCCUCCCACGUGUGGGAGCUUGUAUGUACCUUAUGAAUAAGCAUCGGCUAACUCCGUGCCAGCAGCCGCGGUAAUACGGAGGAUGCGAGCGUUAUCCGGAUUUAUUGGGUUUAAAGGGAGCGCAGACGGGUCGUUAAGUCAGCUGUGAAAGUUUGGGGCUCAACCUUAAAAUUGCAGUUGAUACUGGCGUCCUUGAGUGCGGUUGAGGUGUGCGGAAUUCGUGGUGUAGCGGUGAAAUGCUUAGAUAUCACGAAGAACUCCGAUUGCGAAGGCAGCACACUAAUCCGUAACUGACGUUCAUGCUCGAAAGUGUGGGUAUCAAACAGGAUUAGAUACCCUGGUAGUCCACACGGUAAACGAUGGAUACUCGCUGUUGGCGAUAUACUGUCAGCGGCUUAGCGAAAGCGUUAAGUAUCCCACCUGGGGAGUACGCCGGCAACGGUGAAACUCAAAGGAAUUGACGGAAGGGCG
Molecule: ribosomal RNA, 896 nt
Filed under: uncultured bacterium
Lineage: Bacteria
Description: bacterial SSU rRNA
Rfam family: Bacterial small subunit ribosomal RNA
Source: RNAcentral